CCUACGGGGGGCAGCAGUGGGGAAUAUUGCGCAAUGGGCGAAAGCCUGACGCAGCGACGCCGCGUGAGGGAUGAAGGUCUUCGGAUCGUAAACCUCUGUCAGCAGGGAAGAACGGUCACUGUGCUAAUCAGCAGUGAAUUGACGGUACCUGCAAAGGAAGCACCGGCUAACUCCGUGCCAGCAGCCGCGGUAAUACGGAGGGUGCGAGCGUUAAUCGGAAUUACUGGGCGUAAAGCGCUCGUAGGCGGUAUGUCAAGUCAAGGGUGAAAUCCCCGCGCUCAACGUGGGAACUGCCUUUGAAACUGGCAAACUGGAGUGUGUGAGAGGAUAGUGGAAUUCCAGGUGUAGGAGUGAAAGCCGUAGAUAUCUGGAGGAACAUCAGUGGCGAAGGCGACUAUCUGGCACAUAACUGACGCUGAGGAGCGAAAGCGUGGGUAGCAAACAGGAUUAGAUACCCUAGUAGUU
Molecule: ribosomal RNA, 465 nt
Filed under: uncultured bacterium
Lineage: Bacteria
Description: partial 16S ribosomal RNA
Rfam family: Bacterial small subunit ribosomal RNA
Source: RNAcentral